RNAcentral lists this small RNA (125 nucleotides) under Marmota monax (woodchuck). Lineage: Eukaryota; Metazoa; Chordata; Mammalia; Rodentia; Sciuridae. The record is from RNAcentral.
GCUGGGCGCAGUGGUGCACGCCUGUAAACCAGCGACUCGGGAGGCUGAGACAGGGGGACCGCGAGUUCAGAGCCAGCCUCAGCAAAAAGCAAGGCGCUCAGCAACUCAGGGAGACCCUGUCUCUA